GACUUCCGGUCUUGCCACAGGUAAGAAUGCUCCUCGCAAUCGCUUAGCUAGGCUUAUGGGCCGUGGUACUCACCUAAAUGUUUCCUUUAACCGUUUUCUUUUUUUAUGGUGCGUCUGACCUUCCCUUUCACAUCCGGUAUGAAUGCUUUUUGCGAUCUCUUUUCUAUGCUUAUGGACAGGGGCACUUGCUUAAAUCGGCUUGUAGACUCAAUUUAUCUUCUACAGUGGUUCUGUGGACUCUCCUGUGCACAUCGUUUCGUUGCGCGUCUGACUUCCGCUUCUGCCUCAGUUUCCACUUAGACGGUUGUGUUCCCUUGUUAACAACAUUGCCUUACUGGUCUCGGAAAGUGGCUCGUUCCCUGUCCUUACUGGUUGUACAGGGAUUGCUAGGGGUUGUUCAUUCAGCAUCUGGGAACAGGGAUUAUAGGUCGAAGUGAGUGCUGUGGACAAAUGCAUGGACGCUGCUGCUUGCCUGAAUGCUGCUUGUGCAUGAUUGAUUCAUUUGUUUUGCUUCACUGUCAUUGGACCAGCAUAGGCCAUAUUGUUUAAUUGCUGCUUUGUUGACUGGGUGCUUUGCCAUCUUGUUGCGCAUGCAUUUUCCGUCUAAGUUUAUUUAACAGUUAGUC
This is a long non-coding RNA of Clarias gariepinus (North African catfish), 626 nucleotides long. RefSeq lists it as uncharacterized. The transcript is spliced from 3 exons. NCBI's taxonomy places the organism in Eukaryota, Metazoa, Chordata, Actinopteri, Siluriformes, Clariidae. The record is from RefSeq and is a predicted model, not a curated record.